UAAAUGUAUGAAAGAAGAGAAAGUUGAGGAGGAUGGCAGCGAUCCUGGUGGCCUUCAGCACACAUGUGGUUAAGGCAUCGCCACCUACUUCAUGGCAUUUCUAAGCUAGUUUUUUGU
Molecule: small nuclear RNA, 117 nt
Organism: Brienomyrus brachyistius
Lineage: Eukaryota; Metazoa; Chordata; Actinopteri; Osteoglossiformes; Mormyridae
Source: RefSeq, a predicted model, not a curated record